RNAcentral lists this ribosomal RNA (510 nucleotides) under uncultured bacterium. RNAcentral describes it as "partial 16S ribosomal RNA". It matches the Rfam family "Bacterial small subunit ribosomal RNA", at positions 28 to 507 of the family's 1533-position model. The record is from RNAcentral.
GACGAACGCUGGCGGCGUGCUUAACACAUGCAAGUCGAACGAAGAGCGAUGGAAGCUUGCUUCUAUCAAUCUUAGUGGCGAACGGGUGAGUAACGCGUAAUCAACCUGCCCUUCAGAGGGGGACAACAGUUGGAAACGACUGCUAAUACCGCAUACGAUCCAAUCUCGGCAUCGGGACUGGAUGAAAGGUGGCCUCUAUUUAUAAGCUAUCACUGAAGGAGGGGAUUGCGUCUGAUUAGCUAGUUGGAGGGGUAACGGCCCACCAAGGCGAUGAUCAGUAGCCGGUCUGAGAGGAUGAACGGCCACAUUGGGACUGAGACACGGCCCAGACUCCUAAGGGAGGCAGCAGUGGGGAAUCUUCCGAAAUGGACGAAAGUCUGACGGAGCAACGCCGCGUGAGUGAUGACGGCCUUCGGGUUGUAAAGCUCGGUUAAUCGGGACGAAUGGUUCUUGUGCGAAUAGUGCGAGGAUUUGACGGUACCGGAAUAGAAAGCCACGGCUAACUACGUG